CCUACGGGAGGCAGCAGUGGGGAAUAUUGCACAAUGGGGGAAACCCUGAUGCAGCGACGCCGCUUAAGCGAUGAAGUAUUUCGUUAUGUAAAGCUCUAUCAGCAGGGACGAAAAUGACGGUACCUUACUACGCCUCCCCGGCUAACUCCGUGCCAGCAGCCGCGGUAAUACGUAGGGGGCAAUCGUUCUCCGGAUUUCCUGGGUGUAAAGGGAGCGUAGACGGCUGUGCAAGCCAGAUGUGAAAGCCCGGGGCUCAACCCCGGGACUGCAUUUGGAACUGUGUGGCUGGAGUGUCGGAGAGGCAGGCGGAAUUCCUAGUGUAGCGGUGAAAUGCGUAGAUAUUAGGAGGAACACCAGUGGCGAAGGCGGCCUGCUGGACGAUGACUGACGUUGAGGCUCGAAAGCGUGGGGAGCAAACAGGAUUAGAUACCCCUGUAGUC
RNAcentral lists this ribosomal RNA (440 nucleotides) under uncultured bacterium. RNAcentral's name for it is "partial 16S ribosomal RNA". It matches the Rfam family "Bacterial small subunit ribosomal RNA", at positions 338 to 795 of the family's 1533-position model. The record is from RNAcentral.